This 581-nucleotide long non-coding RNA is filed under the name Mus musculus (house mouse). Its description in RNAcentral is "predicted gene, 69265". The record is from RNAcentral. Lineage: Eukaryota; Metazoa; Chordata; Mammalia; Rodentia; Muridae.
GAGAAUGAAUCGCAGUUCAGUUUCUACCUGUGGUGGUGGCCGCCUCUCUAUGCAGGAGUUAAGGUCCCUGGACCUCAAUAAGCCAGGCCUUCAUACCCCUCAAACCACAGAAAGAUCAACCUUUGGAAAGCUGAGUACACACAAACUGAUAUCUGAAGGAAAAGUCCCAAUAUUUGGGAAAAGGUGAUGCCUUCUUUACAUGAUGCUAGUGGUGAAAAGAUUCUGUUAUUAUAAGGACUAGUGGACAUGAAUCCAGGAAUAGUCAACUUGGUAUAUUUUCCAGUUCUGAAAAAAAUCAAGGACCCAAGACCAGUUAAUGACAAAGCAUUCAUUCAGCAGUGUAUUUCACAACUCUAUGAGUUUCUUACAGAAAAUGGUUAUGUAGAUAGUGUAUCCAUAAAGUCUCUACAAGCUCCAUCUACUAAAGAUUUCCUAAAGAUCUUCGCCUUUCUUUAUGGCUUUCUGUGCCCAUCAUAUGAAUUUCCUGAUACAAAAUGUGAAGAAGAGGUCCCAAGAAUUUUUAAAGAACUUGGGUUUCCCUUCCUACUGUCCAAGAGCUCCAUGUAUGCAGUGGGAGCCCC